GACGAACGCUGGCGGCGUGCCUAAUACAUGCGAGUCGAACGCACAGUUUAUACCGUAGCUUGCUACACCAUAGACUGUGAGUUGCGAACGGGUGAGUAACGCGUAGGUAACCUGCCUGGUAGCGGGGGAUAACUAUUGGAAACGAUAGCUAAUACCGCAUAAUAUUGAUUAUUGCAUGAUAAUUGAUUGAAAGAUGCUAUUGCAUCACUACCAGAUGGACCUGCGUUGUAUUAGCUAGUAGGUGAGGUAACGGCUCACCUAGGCGACGAUACAUAGCCGACCUGAGAGGGUGAUCGGCCACACUGGGACUGAGACACGGCCCAGACUCCUACGGGAGGCAGCAGUAGGGAAUCUUCGGCAAUGGACGAAAGUCUGACCGAGCAACGCCGCGUGAGUGAAGAAGGUUUUCGGAUCGUAAAGCUCUGUUGUAAGAGAAGAACGGGUGUGAGAGUGGAAAGUUCACACUGUGACGGUAUCUUACCAGAAAGGGACGGCUAACUACGUG
RNAcentral lists this ribosomal RNA (505 nucleotides) under uncultured bacterium. Its description in RNAcentral is "partial 16S ribosomal RNA". It matches the Rfam family "Bacterial small subunit ribosomal RNA", at positions 28 to 507 of the family's 1533-position model. The record is from RNAcentral.